Molecule: ribosomal RNA, 207 nt
Filed under: Triticum aestivum (bread wheat)
Lineage: Eukaryota; Viridiplantae; Streptophyta; Magnoliopsida; Poales; Poaceae
Description: partial small subunit ribosomal RNA
Source: RNAcentral
AUGUCUUGCAGUUGCGGAUCAAGCUGCAGCUGCAGCUCAAAUUGCAACUGUGGUAAGAUGUACCCUGAUUUGGAGGGGAAGAGCAGCGCCGCCAUGCAGGCCAUUGUCGUCGUCCUCGGCGUCGGGCCCGCGAAGGUGCAAUUCGAGGAGGCCGGCCACGGCUGUAGCUGCGGUGCCAGCUGCAAGUGCAACCCUUGCAACUGCUAA